This 22-nucleotide microRNA is filed under the name Scyliorhinus torazame (cloudy catshark). RNAcentral's name for it is "Sto-Mir-30-P1d3_3p* (star (passenger))". The record is from RNAcentral. Lineage: Eukaryota; Metazoa; Chordata; Chondrichthyes; Carcharhiniformes; Scyliorhinidae.
CUUUCAGUUGGAUGUUUAUGUU